RNAcentral lists this ribosomal RNA (253 nucleotides) under uncultured bacterium. Its description in RNAcentral is "partial 16S ribosomal RNA". It matches the Rfam family "Bacterial small subunit ribosomal RNA", at positions 524 to 776 of the family's 1533-position model. The record is from RNAcentral.
GACGAACCGUGCAAACGUUGUUCGGAUUCACUGGGCUUAAAGGGCGCGUAGGCGGGUGGUCAAGUCGGGGGUGAAAUCUUUCAGCUUAACUGGAAAAUAGCUUCCGAUACUGGCCGUCUUGAGGGAGGUAGGGGCAUGUGGAACUUCCGGUGGAGCGGUGAAAUGCGUAGAUAUCGGAAGGAACGCCGGUGGCGAAAGCGACGUGCUGGACCUUUUCUGACGCUGAGGCGCGAAAGCCAGGGGAGCAAACGGG